UACGUAGGGUGCGAGCGUUGUCCGGAAUCAUUGGGCGUAAAGAGCUUGUAGGCGGUUUGUCGCGUCUGCUGUGAAAAUCCGGGGCUCAACCCCGGACUUGCAGUGGGUACGGGCAGACUAGAGUGUGGUAGGGGAGACUGGAAUUCCUGGUGUAGCGGUGAAAUGCGCAGAUAUCAGGAGGAACACCGAUGGCGAAGGCAGGUCUCUGGGCCACUACUGACGCUGAGAAGCGAAAGCGUGGGGAGCGAACAGG
RNAcentral lists this ribosomal RNA (253 nucleotides) under uncultured bacterium. RNAcentral's name for it is "partial 16S ribosomal RNA". It matches the Rfam family "Bacterial small subunit ribosomal RNA", at positions 524 to 776 of the family's 1533-position model. The record is from RNAcentral.